This is a long non-coding RNA of Monomorium pharaonis (pharaoh ant), 712 nucleotides long. RefSeq lists it as uncharacterized. Lineage: Eukaryota; Metazoa; Arthropoda; Insecta; Hymenoptera; Formicidae. The transcript has 4 exons. The record is from RefSeq and is a predicted model, not a curated record.
AGUUCGUGUGGCUUUAGAUUGACUUUCCUUAUCUUUGAUGUAUUACGCUGAUCAGCCAUGCAAUCCACACCCUCUAACGGCUCGACCGCUCGCACCAGUACCGCGCAUCCGUCACCUAAGAUCUUACCAAUAGUGAGACAAAAAUUAUUUAGUUUCGAGGGCCAAAUAAGAUGACAAGGUCAGUUUGAUCUUAAGUGGCGUUGCUAAGAUCGCAACGAGACGCAAUUCACUAUAAUUAAUCUGAGGCCUGUGUCUUCAGUCGUGUAGACCGCGGAAACGCUCGGAACUACACGCGACUAUCUUCAACAGUACAGAACAAUGUAAUAAGAUUAUAGAUAUCCAAAAAUUAUGGUGGACUUUUACAUUCAUCUCGAUCCCGUCUAUCUUCCUAUUAAGAAUUGGAUGCUAUUCAUAUUUCUCCCUGUAUAAUACUUAUACAUUAUAUUAUAUAUAAUACUUAAUUUUGAUUGCAAUAAAACUUCUCUAAUAUAUAUCAUAUUUAUAAUAUAAAACAAAGUACAUGAAAAUGAUCCUCUUUGUUAACUUUAGUUGCAAAUUUAUCAAAAUUGUAACGUGAUAAAGCAAUUUGGCAAUUAGAUUUGUAUUCAGAGAGAUUAAAAACCUAAAAGAAACAGAAAAUGAUUAUUCCUUGAUUCUGGUAUUACUUUUUCCGUUGAACUAUGUAAUUUAUAUAAAAUAAACUAAUAAAAAG